This 480-nucleotide long non-coding RNA is filed under the name Homo sapiens (human). RNAcentral describes it as "non-protein coding lnc-LDLRAD1-2:2". Lineage: Eukaryota; Metazoa; Chordata; Mammalia; Primates; Hominidae. The record is from RNAcentral.
CUAAGUACAUAAGGUUGACUAAUUAAGAAUUUCCUGUUUCUUAUAAAAUUUUAAUAUAACUAAUUGUUGAUUUUUUUUUUCCAGUAACUCUGGGUGGAUUUUAACUACAACUCUUGUCCUCUCGGUGAUGGUAUUGCUUUGGAUUUGUUGUGCAACUGUUGCUACAGCUGUGGAGCAGUAUGUUCCCUCUGAGAAGCUGAGUAUCUAUGGUGACUUGGAGUUUAUGAAUGAACAAAAGCUAAACAGAUAUCCAGCUUCUUCUCUUGUGGUUGUUAGAUCUAAAACUGAAGAUCAUGAAGAAGCAGGGCCUCUACCUACAAAAGUGAAUCUUGCUCAUUCUGAAAUUUAAGCAUUUUUCUUUUAAAAGACAAGUGUAAUAGACAUCUAAAAUUCCACUCCUCAUAGAGCUUUUAAAAUGGUUUCAUUGGAUAUAGGCCUUAAGAAAUCACUAUAAAAUGCAAAUAAAGUUACUCAAAUCUG